CGAGCGGGCGAGAUGAUCGCGGGCGGCUUUGGCCGUUCGAGGAAAGUCCGAGCACCGCGGAGCAGGGUGCCGGGUAACGCCCGGCGGAAGCGAUUCCAGGGAAAGUGCCACAGAAAACACACCGCCCAAGACCGGCUUCGGCCGGGACGGCAAGGGUGAAAAGGUGAGGUAAGAGCUCACCGGGCUUCCGGUAACGGCGGCCGUCAUGGUAAACCCCACCCGGUGCAAGACCAAAUAGGAGGGCAGAGGUGCUCCGCCUCGUCAUGACUCUCGGGUUGGUCGCUUGAGGUGUCCGGUAACGGGCAUCCCAGACAAAUGAUCGUCCUCCUUCGGGAGAACAGAACUCGGCUUACGUCCCGCUCGGGCC
RNAcentral lists this RNase P RNA (367 nucleotides) under Candidatus Krumholzibacteriia bacterium. RNAcentral describes it as "RNase P RNA component class A". It matches the Rfam family "Bacterial RNase P class A". From Rfam's summary of the family: Ribonuclease P (RNase P) is a ubiquitous endoribonuclease, found in archaea, bacteria and eukarya as well as chloroplasts and mitochondria. Lineage: Bacteria; Candidatus Krumholzibacteriota; Candidatus Krumholzibacteriia. The record is from RNAcentral.